ACCCGCACAAGCGGUGGAUGAUGUGGAUUAAUUCGAUGCAACGCGAAAACCUUACCCACCUUUGACAUGUACGGAACCCUUUAGAGAUAGAGGGGUGCUCGAAAGAGAGCCGUAACACAGGUGCUGCAUGGCUGUCGUCAGCUCGUGUCGUGAGAUGUUGGGUUAAGUCCCGCAACGAGCGCAACCCUUGUCAUUAGUUGCUACAUUCAGUUGGGCACUCUAAUGAGACUGCCGGUGACAAGCCGGAGGAAGGUGGGGAUGACGUCAAGUCCUCAUGGCCCUUAUAGGUGGGGCUACACACGUCAUACAAUGGCUGGUACAAAGGGUUGCCAACCCGCGAGGGGGAGCCAAUCCCAUAAAGCCAGUCGUAGUCCGGAUCGUAGUCUGCAACUCGACUACGUGAAGUCGGAAUCGCUAGUAAUCGUGGAUCAGAAUGUCACGGUGAAUACGUUCCCGGGUCUU
This 462-nucleotide ribosomal RNA is filed under the name uncultured Rhodoferax sp. Its description in RNAcentral is "bacterial SSU rRNA". It matches the Rfam family "Bacterial small subunit ribosomal RNA", at positions 919 to 1382 of the family's 1533-position model. The record is from RNAcentral. Lineage: Bacteria; Pseudomonadati; Pseudomonadota; Betaproteobacteria; Burkholderiales; Comamonadaceae.